Molecule: long non-coding RNA, 546 nt
Filed under: Falco tinnunculus (common kestrel)
Lineage: Eukaryota; Metazoa; Chordata; Aves; Falconiformes; Falconidae
Description: lncRNA (ENSFTIG00000014969.1)
Source: RNAcentral
CAAUUUAGGAGUCUCUCAUCUGUCACUUUCUCCCAUAAAGGGUUAGCAUGAAAGCAAUGAGUCAGGCAUGAUGUUCCAGCCAAGUGCAAAAUGAAUUAUGAAAGCAUCAGCUGCGUAAACCUCCCAUUGAGUCUACUUUUUUUGAAGAAUUGAAACUUCCAGUAGAAAAAGCAGGGUUGGAAAUAAGAAUGACCCCAUGUCAUGACCACAUACAGAUCUAUAUUUCACCUCUUUAUCUGGCAAAAAACCUCAGUCAGGCAGCAAGCUUCCUCCUGGAUCCAAGCUUUCAGGCUUUUCUUCCCUAAUCCUAGGUUCCUCAGAGUCAUGAGGCUGAAUUGUCUCUGCUGCUUCCAGGUGUGCCCGUUGGCAAAGGUGAUGCCUGCAACAAAAUGGGGAAGGACCGGGGAGAAGUAUGGGGCUGGUGUAUCCAUAAGCAGGACUGGUGAAUUCGUAGUGGUUCCAAGAUCUACCACCAUGAGUUUGGAAGGAUCCCUGGCAGUAUUUAUAUGGGGAAUCAGAGUGCACAUCAGCUCUCAUGAUUACUGA